ACGAUGUGGAGCGAAUCCAGAAAAUAAUGUCCCAGUUCAGAUUGCAGGCUGCAACUCGCCUGCAUGAAGUCGGAAUUGCUAGUAAUCGCAGAUCAGCAUGCUGCGGUGAAUACGUUCCCGGGCCUUGUACACACCGCCCGUCACACCAUGGGAGUUUGUAACGCCCAAAGUCGGUGGCCUAACCUUUAUGGAGGGAGCCGCCUAAAGCGGGACAGAUGACUGGGGUGAAGUCGUAACAAGGUAUC
Molecule: ribosomal RNA, 245 nt
Filed under: uncultured bacterium
Lineage: Bacteria
Description: partial 16S ribosomal RNA
Rfam family: Bacterial small subunit ribosomal RNA
Source: RNAcentral